RNAcentral lists this ribosomal RNA (194 nucleotides) under uncultured bacterium. Its description in RNAcentral is "partial 16S ribosomal RNA". It matches the Rfam family "Bacterial small subunit ribosomal RNA", at positions 1307 to 1500 of the family's 1533-position model. The record is from RNAcentral.
GCAACUCGCCUGCACGAAGUCGGAAUUGCUAGUAAUCGCGAAUCAGAAUGUCGCGGUGAAUACGUUCCCGGGUCUUGCACACACCGCCCGUCACACCAUGGGAGUCGGAUAUGCCCGAAGCCGGUGACCUAACCGCAAGGAAGGAGCCGUCGAAGGUGGAGCCGAUGACUGGGGUGAAGUCGUAACAAGGUACC